This 1089-nucleotide unclassified non-coding RNA is filed under the name Hevea brasiliensis (rubber tree). Lineage: Eukaryota; Viridiplantae; Streptophyta; Magnoliopsida; Malpighiales; Euphorbiaceae. The record is from RNAcentral.
GCAUGCCAAGGCUAAAGAAACUCACAAUAAAUGGUGAGUACCGUCAAAUGAGUCGCUUAUUCAAGGUAUGAUCCUCAAUUUCCUAAUAGCUUUUACCCUUCCUCAACCUAAGCUUUGUCAUAUGUAUGGUCUAAUUUUUCACCUUUUUUUUUAACAUACAGCUUGGUUUCCUUUAGUUAUCAAAUGUCUUUUAAAAAUUAUAAUUUUAGUUUUGAUUCGUGAAUAACCACAGUUGCAUAUCUCAUGAAUCUCUUGUAAAUAAAAUUGUAGUAUCUCAAAUUAAAAUUUAUAAAUAAUUAAAUAUGAUGGUGGACAAAUUUCUUAGACUAAAUGACUUGACCAAUGCUUUCAAAAGAAGAAAAGUCAACAAGAGUAAAUUGAACUUCUGAUUUAGUAGAACAUCACUUUAAAAAUAUAUCUGUAUUUAUUAUAUGCUUUAUAUCCUCAAAUUUGAAUAUGAUAAAUAAUAUAAAUAUAAUUGGCAAAACUCAUUACAUAACCUCAUUUAUUCGCUAUACAGGAAGUUGUUGCUAAUGAUGAAUCUGAUUCUUCCGAGUAUGAAGUAGAUGAUAAAUCUGAUGUUGCCAAGUGUGAAGUAGAUGAUGAAUCUGAUGAUGCCAAAUAUGAAGUAGAUGAUGAAUCUGAUGUUAAGCAACUUUAAAUCCUUGAUGAUGCCAAAUUUCAGGCAGAAGAGCAAAAUGGCAUUCAAUUCUUAAGGUAUUUGUAGCAUAAUCUUCCACAUUCGUUAUUUUAUGCUACACAAUAUGAUAUCUACAGAAUUCACAAAAUGGAUCAGACUAUACUAUCAAACAUCAUUAAUUCCUAGUCCUAACAACCUUUAAUUGGAAUUUUGUAUAUUAGCUUGAUCUCACGAUUGUGUUGCUAAGUUGUGCUUAUCUUUGUUGUUUUUUGCAGGAGAUUUAGAACUCUGGGGCUGCUGGAUCCUUGCUGUUGCGUUGGUUUCCUCGGAGGCGUUUGUUGUUUCUUUGGGCUUCCAAUUCUUUGAUUUGGUGGUCUUUUUUAUCUUGCUGCUGUUGGUGUCUUCUUGCUCCUUUGUUAUUUGGAGUUUGCUUUGCUGUCCUUGAUGUG